This 468-nucleotide ribosomal RNA is filed under the name uncultured bacterium. RNAcentral's name for it is "partial 16S ribosomal RNA". It matches the Rfam family "Bacterial small subunit ribosomal RNA", at positions 28 to 507 of the family's 1533-position model. The record is from RNAcentral.
GACGAACGCUGGCGGCGUGCUUAACACAUGCAAGUCGAACGGAAAGGCCCUGCUUUUGUGGGGUGCUCGAGUGGCGAACGGGUGAGUAACACGUGAGUAACCUGCCCUUGACUUUGGGAUAACUUCAGGAAACUGGGGCUAAUACCGGAUAGGAGCUCCUGCUGCAUGGUGGGGGUUGGAAAGUGUCGGCGGUUGGGGAUGGACUCGCGGCUUAUCAGCUUGUUGGUGGGGUAGUGGCUUACCAAGGCUUUGACGGGUAGCCGGCCUGAGAGGUUGACCAGCCACAUUGGGACUGCGAUACGGCCCAGACUCCUACGGGCGGCAGCAGUGGGGAAUAUUGCACAAUGGGCGGAAGCCUGAUGCAGCAACCCCGCGUGCGGGAUGACGGCCUUCGGGUUGUAAACCGCUUUCGCCUGUGACGAAGCGUGAGUGACGGUAAUGGGUAAAGAAGCACCGGCUAACUACGUG